RNAcentral lists this long non-coding RNA (950 nucleotides) under Pan troglodytes (chimpanzee). Its description in RNAcentral is "lincRNA". Lineage: Eukaryota; Metazoa; Chordata; Mammalia; Primates; Hominidae. The record is from RNAcentral.
AACGCCCGGCCAGGGGGCGGGCGUCACAUGGUGGGCGCUGUGGCUGCGGCUGCGGCUGCAGCGGCCCCAGGUGCAAACAGACUGCCGCCGAAUGUGAGCAGCGAGGCGAGGGGUCGAGGUAGCGAGGAGUCAGGGUGGCCCGCAGCAGGAAGACAGAAGGCGUGGAGACAGACUGGCGUUUUGCCUCAGAGGAAGAAGUGGAGUCCCCUCUCCCAUUCUGUGAGCAAGUGCCAGUUCCAGUGAUUCGUACUUUCAUGUCCGAGUUGGAAACCUUGGCCCGACGGUGAUGGACUGCACGACUUGCUGGACUCCCAAGUCCGAAGUUUCUGCGGCAGCGCUUGCUUUGUGGCGCCACCUGGAACAUAGAGAACGGUGGGGGUAAAUAAGGGGAGCCUGAAGUUUCUGCUCUGUGCUUGCGUGUUCGACUCCCAUCGCCGAGACUUUCUUCUGCUUUGGAUCGCUUGUCCCAGGCUGACGCCGCGCUGCGACGUCUCCCCUCGUAGGAGCCUAACGCCAACCCCUGCGCCAGGCAGGGAUGGAAUCAUCAUUCUCAUUGUAUAGAUGGACACUGAGGCUCGAGAACGGAAACGACUUCUUUUGAGUUGGGUGCCCCUCCCCCCUUGCCAGGCAGCCGCCUUUCUCUGUUGCCAUAGCACAAAUCACAAGGGUAUUUAUGGAACAAAAGCUCAGACCGCUGAGAUGUUCACUCUGCACUUUCAGCAGCACUCACAUUGAGAUAUGAGAAGACUGCAACAAGAACAAAAGGGUUGUGCCACCUCCUUUGGAUGUGAAGAGGAUGUGCUGACACGUGUGCUCGGGAGCCAGACUUUGUGGCCUUGGGGAAAGGACUGAAUAUUUCUGUGCUUCGUCGUUUGCAUCUGUGGAAUGCAGGUGAUACUGAGCUCUUCCUUGUGGGAUUAUUGCCUGGAAAUACACCAUUAUAGGCUCAU